This 263-nucleotide unclassified non-coding RNA is filed under the name plant metagenome. RNAcentral's name for it is "partial contains small subunit ribosomal RNA, internal transcribed spacer 1, and 5.8S ribosomal RNA". The record is from RNAcentral.
UCUCCGUAGGUGAACCUGCGGAAGGAUCAUUAUUGUAUCAUCGAGGUGCGAGGGCUAACGCUGACCCGAAAGGUCGUGCACGCCCGAGUGCCCUCACACACAUCCAUCUCACCCCUAUGUGCACCACCGCGUGGGUCCCCCUUUGGCUUGUUCGGAGGGGGGCUUACGUUUUCACACAAACUUUGUAUGCAGUGUAGAAUGUAUUUUUUGUUUUUGCGAUCACGCAAUCAAUACAACUUUCAACAACGGAUCUCUUGGCUCUC